RNAcentral lists this ribosomal RNA (495 nucleotides) under uncultured bacterium. RNAcentral describes it as "partial 16S ribosomal RNA". It matches the Rfam family "Bacterial small subunit ribosomal RNA", at positions 28 to 507 of the family's 1533-position model. The record is from RNAcentral.
GAUGAACGCUGGCGGCGUGCCUAAUACAUGCAAGUAGAACGCUGAAGGAGGAGCUUGCUCUUCUGGAUGAGUUGCGAACGGGUGAGUAACGCGUAGGUAACCUGCCUGGUAGCGGGGGAUAACUAUUGGAAACGAUAGCUAAUACCGCAUGACAACAGUUAUUGCAUGAUAACUGUUUAAAAGGGGCAACUGCUCCACUACCAGAUGGACCUGCGUUGUAUUAGCUAGUUGGUGAGGUAACGGCUCACCAAGGCGACGAUACAUAGCCGACCUGAGAGGGUGAUCGGCCACACUGGGACUGAGACACGGCCCAGACUCCUACGGGAGGCAGCAGUAGGGAAUCUUCGGUAAUGGACGGAAGUCUGACCGAGCAACGCCGCGUGAGUGAAGAAGGUUUUCGGAUCGUAAAGCUCUGUUGUAAGAGAAGAACGAGUGUGAGAGUGGAAAGUUCACACUGUGACGGUAUCUUACCAGAAAGGGACGGCUAACUACGUG